UACGUAGGCAGCGAGCGUUGUUCGGAGUUACUGGGCGUAAAGGGUGUGUAGGCGGCUGUUUAAGUUUGGUGUGAAAUCUCCCGGCUCAACUGGGAGGGUGCGCCGAAUACUGAAUGACUUGGAGUGCGGGAGAGGAAAGUGGAAUUCCUGGUGUAGCGGUGAAAUGCGUAGAUAUCAGGAGGAACACCGGUGGUGUAGACGGCUUUCUGGACCGUAACUGACGCUGAGACACGAAAGCGUGGGUAGCAAACAGG
RNAcentral lists this ribosomal RNA (254 nucleotides) under uncultured bacterium. RNAcentral describes it as "partial 16S ribosomal RNA". It matches the Rfam family "Bacterial small subunit ribosomal RNA", at positions 524 to 776 of the family's 1533-position model. The record is from RNAcentral.